CAAUAGCGUAUAUUAAAGUUGUUGCGGUUAAAAAGCUCGUAGUUGGAUUUCUGCUGAGGACGACCGGUCCGCCCUCCGGGUGAGCAUCUGGUUCGGCCUUGGCAUCUUCUUGGUGAACGUAUCUGCACUUGACUGUGUGGUGCGGUACCCAGGACUUUUACUUUGAGGAAAUUAGAGUGUUUCAAGCAGGCAUACGCCUUGAAUACAUUAGCAUGGAAUAAUGGAAUAGGACUUAGUCUCUUUGUUGGUUCGAGGGACUGGAGUAAUGAUUAAUAGGGAUAGUUGGGGGCAUUAGUAUUUAAUUGUCAGAGGUGAAAUUCUUGGAUUUAUGAAAGACUAACUACUGCGAAAGCAUUUGCCAAGGAUGUUUUCAUUAAUCAAGAACGAAAGUUAGGGGAUCGAAGAUGAUCAGAUACCAU
This 419-nucleotide ribosomal RNA is filed under the name uncultured eukaryote. Its description in RNAcentral is "bacterial SSU rRNA". It matches the Rfam family "Eukaryotic small subunit ribosomal RNA", at positions 592 to 1018 of the family's 1831-position model. The record is from RNAcentral.